Molecule: ribosomal RNA, 119 nt
Organism: Hordeum vulgare subsp. vulgare (domesticated barley)
Lineage: Eukaryota; Viridiplantae; Streptophyta; Magnoliopsida; Poales; Poaceae
Source: RefSeq, a predicted model, not a curated record
UGAUGCGAUCAUACCAGCACUAAAGCACCGGAUCCCAUCAGAACUCCGAAGUUAAGCGUGCUUGGGCGAGAGUAGUACCAAGGUGGGUUAACUCCUUGGAAGUCCUCGUGUUGCAUUCC